GGAUAUAACUCAGUUGGUAGAGUGCUUGCCUCACAUGCACAAGGCCUUAGUUUCAAUCCCUAGCACCA
Molecule: transfer RNA, 68 nt
Filed under: Marmota monax (woodchuck)
Lineage: Eukaryota; Metazoa; Chordata; Mammalia; Rodentia; Sciuridae
Description: tRNA.Val
Source: RNAcentral